GAAUCUUGCACAAUGGGGGAAACCCUGAUGCAGCGACGCCGCGUGAGCGAUGAAGCCCUUCGGGGUGUAAAGGUCUUUCAGCGGGGAAAAUUAUGAUGGUACCCGCAGAAGCAGCUGCGGCUAACUACGUGCCAGCAGCCGCGGUAAUACGUAGGCAGCAAGCGUUGUUCGGAAUUACUGGGCGUAAAGCGAGUGUAGGCGGUCUGUCAAGUCUGCUGUGAAAUCUCCUGGCUCAACUGGGAGGGUGCGGUGGAAACUGGCAGGCUAGAGUACGGAAGGGGAGAGUGGAAUUCCUGGUGUAGCGGUGAAAUGCGUAGAUAUCAGGAGGAACACCGGCGGUGAAGACGGCUCUCUGGACCGUUACUGACGCUGAGACUCGAAAGCGUGGGGAGCAAACAGG
RNAcentral lists this ribosomal RNA (400 nucleotides) under uncultured bacterium. Its description in RNAcentral is "bacterial SSU rRNA". It matches the Rfam family "Bacterial small subunit ribosomal RNA", at positions 359 to 776 of the family's 1533-position model. The record is from RNAcentral.